RNAcentral lists this ribosomal RNA (215 nucleotides) under uncultured bacterium. Its description in RNAcentral is "partial 16S ribosomal RNA". It matches the Rfam family "Bacterial small subunit ribosomal RNA", at positions 524 to 736 of the family's 1533-position model. The record is from RNAcentral.
UACAGAGGGUGCGAGCGUUGUCCGGAAUCACUGGGCGUAAAGGGCGCGUAGGUGGUGGCUUAAGCGUGCGGUGAAAGCUCGGGGCUCAACCCCGAGUCGGCCGUGCGAACUGGGCUCACUGGAGCAUAGUAGAGGCAGGUGGAAUUCCGGGUGUAGCGGUGGAAUGCGUAGAGAUCCGGAAGAACACCGGUGGCGAAGGCGGCCGUGCUGGGCUA